RNAcentral lists this ribosomal RNA (848 nucleotides) under uncultured Synergistes sp. Its description in RNAcentral is "bacterial SSU rRNA". It matches the Rfam family "Bacterial small subunit ribosomal RNA", at positions 28 to 901 of the family's 1533-position model. Lineage: Bacteria; Thermotogati; Synergistota; Synergistia; Synergistales; Synergistaceae. The record is from RNAcentral.
GACGAACGCNGGCGGCGUGCUUAACACAUGCAAGUUGAACGGGCAGAUAUGGAAGCUUGCUGAAGUAUCUGUUAGUAGCGGACGGGUGAGUAAUGCAUGAGGAGCUGUCAUAGGGAGGGGGACAACAGUUGGAAACGGCUGCUAAUACCCCGUAUGCCGGAAGGUGAAAGGGAGCGAUCCGCCCGAUGAGGUACUCAUGUCCUAUCAGCUGGUUGGUGGGGUAACGGCCUACCAAGGCGACGACGGGUAGCCGGCCUGAGAGGGUGAACGGCCACACUGGAACUGAGAUACGGUCCAGACUCCUACGGGAGGCAGCAGUGGGGAAUAUUGGGCAAUGGGGGGAACCCUGACCCAGCGACGCCGCGUGAGGGAAGACGGCCUUCGGGUUGUAAACCUCUUUUGUACGGGAAGAAGGAAGUGACGGUACUGUACGAAUAAGUCCCGGCUAACUACGUGCCAGCAGCCGCGGUAAUACGUAGGGGACGAGCGUUGUCCGGAAUUACUGGGCGUAAAGGGCGCGUAGGCUGUGCUGCAAGUCAGCUGUGAAAUAUCUGGGCUUAACCUGGAUAUGCGGAUGAGACUGCAGUGCUGGAGUGCUGUAGAGGCAAGUGGAAUUCCCAGUGUAGCGGUGAAAUGCGUAGAUAUUGGGAAGAACACCGGUGGCGAAGGCGACUUGCUGGGCAGCAACUGACGCUGAGGCGCGAAAGCCAGGGGAGCGAACGGGAUUAGAUACCCCGGUAGUCCUGGCCGUAAACGAUGAAUGCUAGGUGUGGGUGUAGAGAUACAUUCGUGCCGGANUUAACGCGAUAAGCAUUCCGCCUGGGGAGUACGGUCGCAAGAUUGAAACU